GGGUCGGUACCAAAGCGGUCAACUGGGUCAGACUGUAAAUCUGAUGGCUUCGGCCUACGCAGGUUCGAGUCCUGCCCGGCCCA
RNAcentral lists this transfer RNA (83 nucleotides) under Patescibacteria group bacterium. RNAcentral's name for it is "tRNA-Tyr". It matches the Rfam family "tRNA". Rfam says of the family: Transfer RNA (tRNA) molecules are approximately 80 nucleotides in length. Their secondary structure includes four short double-helical elements and three loops (D, anti-codon, and T loops). The record is from RNAcentral.